This 539-nucleotide long non-coding RNA is filed under the name Ursus maritimus (polar bear). RNAcentral describes it as "lncRNA (ENSUMAG00000021376.1)". The record is from RNAcentral. Lineage: Eukaryota; Metazoa; Chordata; Mammalia; Carnivora; Ursidae.
GAGGGACCGCAGUAGAGAUCGAGUCAAGAGCUGCCCGGAAAGCGCUCAGAGUUGGGGUGUCAAGGAGGCCUGUCAAAGGACAAAAGAUGAGAUUACUGGGCGGCAGGGUGCCCCAAACGUCCUAGGAACUGCGCCUCCGCGCUUCCUGUUAGCUUGCCGCCAAGUUUUUCUAGAGGAGUCGCUCCUUUUGGCAGGGUAGGUCUACUGGGUUCUUGGCACAGUACCAUAUGGACCUGGACAAAGCAUUGUUAAGUUACAGAUUCCAUAUUGGAGAUCUUUGAUCACAGGAAACCACCAGGAAAAACAAACAAAUGGUAAGAUUCACGUUUCUUUUGGGACUAUUGUGUAUGAGGCAAAAUGUUUGCCAACAUUUUUUUUUCAUACAACACAUAUAUUGAGCAUCCACUGCUGUGCUCCACUCCGGCCAUGUAACGAUGAGUAAAAACAGAUAAAACCCCUGCUCAUAAAGCUAAUAGUUUAGUGUAACAGAUCACCAGUAACCAGAUAACCACACAGAAAUAUACAAAUGCAAAUUUAAC